RNAcentral lists this transfer RNA (76 nucleotides) under Thermococcus sp. Its description in RNAcentral is "tRNA-Asn". It matches the Rfam family "tRNA". Rfam says of the family: Transfer RNA (tRNA) molecules are approximately 80 nucleotides in length. Lineage: Archaea; Methanobacteriati; Methanobacteriota; Thermococci; Thermococcales; Thermococcaceae. The record is from RNAcentral.
GCCGCCGUAGCUCAGUUGGUAGAGCAACGGGCUGUUAACCCGUAGGUCGCAGGUUCAAAUCCUGCCGGCGGCGCCA